RNAcentral lists this ribosomal RNA (497 nucleotides) under uncultured bacterium. Its description in RNAcentral is "partial 16S ribosomal RNA". It matches the Rfam family "Bacterial small subunit ribosomal RNA", at positions 28 to 507 of the family's 1533-position model. The record is from RNAcentral.
GAUGAACGCUGGCGGCGUGCCUAAUACAUGCAAGUCGAGCGAACAGACGAGGAGCUUGCUCCUCUGACGUUAGCGGCGGACGGGUGAGUAACACGUGGAUAACCUACCUAUAAGACUGGGAUAACUUCGGGAAACCGGAGCUAAUACCGGAUAAUAUAUUGAACCGCAUGGUUCAAUAGUGAAAGACGGUUUUGCUGUCACUUAUAGAUGGAUCCGCUCCGCAUUAGCUAGUUGGUAAGGUAACGGCUUACCAAGGCAACGAUGCGUAGCCGACCUGAGAGGGUGAUCCGCCACACUGGAACUGAGACACGGUCCAGACUCCUACGGGAAGCAGCAGUAGGGAAUCUUCCGCAAUGGGCGAAAGCCUGACGGAGCAACGCCGCGUGAGUGAUGAAGGUCUUCGGAUCGUAAAACUCUGUUAUUAGGGAAGAACAAAUGUGUAAGUAACUAUGCACGUCUUGACGGUACCUAAUCAGAAAGCCACGGCUAACUACGUG